GUAGGUGGCAAGCGUUGUCCGGAAUUAUUGGGCGUAAAGCGCGCGCAGGCGGUUCUUUAAGUCUGAUGUGAAAGCCCACGGCUCAACCGUGGAGGGUCAUUGGAAACUGGAGAACUUGAGUACAGAAGAGGAAAGCGGAAUUCCACGUGUAGCGGUGAAAUGCGUAGAGAUGUGGAGGAACACCAGUGGCGAAGGCGGCUUUCUGGUCUGUAACUGACGCUGAGGCGCGAAAGCGUGGGGGAGCAAACAGGAUUAGAUACCCUGGUAGUCCACGCCGUAAACCGAUGAGUGCUAAGUGUUAGGGGGUUUUCCGCCCCUUAGUGCUGCAGCUAACGCAUUAAGCACUCCGCCUGGGAGUACGGCCGCAGGCUG
RNAcentral lists this ribosomal RNA (372 nucleotides) under uncultured organism. RNAcentral's name for it is "partial 16S ribosomal RNA". It matches the Rfam family "Bacterial small subunit ribosomal RNA", at positions 527 to 896 of the family's 1533-position model. The record is from RNAcentral.